GGAGGCGUGCCUGAAGCCAAGGGCCACUUUGAUAGAGUGGAGCACGGGGGUUAAAGUCCCCCCGCCUUCU
Molecule: transfer RNA, 70 nt
Filed under: Parupeneus chrysopleuron (yellow-striped goatfish)
Lineage: Eukaryota; Metazoa; Chordata; Actinopteri; Syngnathiformes; Mullidae
Description: tRNA-Ile
Rfam family: tRNA
About the family: Transfer RNA (tRNA) molecules are approximately 80 nucleotides in length. Their secondary structure includes four short double-helical elements and three loops (D, anti-codon, and T loops). Further hydrogen bonds mediate the characteristic L-shaped molecular structure. tRNAs have two regions of fundamental functional importance: the anti-codon, which is responsible for specific mRNA codon recognition, and the 3' end, to which the tRNAs corresponding amino acid is attached (by aminoacyl-tRNA synthetases). tRNAs cope with the degeneracy of the genetic code in two manners: having more than one tRNA (with a specific anti-codon) for a particular amino acid; and 'wobble' base-pairing, i.e. permitting non-standard base-pairing at the 3rd anti-codon position.
Source: RNAcentral